This 273-nucleotide ribosomal RNA is filed under the name uncultured bacterium. RNAcentral's name for it is "partial 16S ribosomal RNA". It matches the Rfam family "Bacterial small subunit ribosomal RNA", at positions 524 to 796 of the family's 1533-position model. The record is from RNAcentral.
UACAGAGGGUGCAAGCGUUAAUCGGAAUUACUGGGCGUAAAGCGCACGUAGGCGGUUUUUUAAGUCAGAUGUGAAAGCCCCGGGCUCAACCUGGGAAUUGCAUUUGAAACUGGAAAACUAGAGUGUGUGAGAGGGGGGUAGAAUUCCAAGUGUAGCGGUGAAAUGCGUAGAGAUUUGGAGGAAUACCAGUGGCGAAGGCGGCCCCCUGGCACAACACUGACGCUCAGGUGCGAAAGCGUGGGGAGCAAACAGGAUUAGAUACCCCGGUAGUCC